This 122-nucleotide ribosomal RNA is filed under the name Pachypsylla venusta (hackberry petiole gall psyllid). Lineage: Eukaryota; Metazoa; Arthropoda; Insecta; Hemiptera; Aphalaridae. The record is from RNAcentral.
GCCAACGAUCAUACCACGUUGAAUACACCAGUUCCUUUCAGAUCACUGAAGUUAAGUAACGUCGGACGUGGUCAGUACUUGGAUGGGUGACCGCUUGGGAACACCACGUAUCGUUGGCUUCG